CGAAAGAUGGUGAACUAUGCCUGGCCAGGACGAAGCCAGAGGAAACUCUGGUGGAGGUCCGAAGCAGUUCUGACGUGCAAAUCGAUUGUCAGAGCUGGGUAUAGGGGCGAAAGACCAAUCGAACCAUCUAGUAGCUGGUUCCCUCCGAAGUUUCCCCCAGGAUAGCUGGUACUCACAUGGGGAGUUUCAUCCGGUAAAGCGAAUGAUUAGAGGUACUGGGGGCGAAACGCCCUCAACCUAUUCUCAAACUUUCAAUGGGUGAGUGACCAAGCUUGCUUGAUGCCGAGGUGCGAAUAGAGCUCGCCUCUUGAGUAGCCCUCGCGUUUUGAAGCUUCGGCCUUCCUAAAUCAAUGAGUUGCAAGUGGCAUGUUUU
This 373-nucleotide ribosomal RNA is filed under the name Phylladiorhynchus nudus. RNAcentral's name for it is "partial large subunit ribosomal RNA". It matches the Rfam family "Eukaryotic large subunit ribosomal RNA", at positions 817 to 1137 of the family's 3401-position model. The record is from RNAcentral. Lineage: Eukaryota; Metazoa; Arthropoda; Malacostraca; Decapoda; Galatheidae.